This is a small nuclear RNA of Ochotona princeps (American pika), 161 nucleotides long. Its record names the gene U1. It matches the Rfam family "U1 spliceosomal RNA". Rfam says of the family: U1 is a small nuclear RNA (snRNA) component of the spliceosome (involved in pre-mRNA splicing). Its 5' end forms complementary base pairs with the 5' splice junction, thus defining the 5' donor site of an intron. There are significant differences in sequence and secondary structure between metazoan and yeast U1 snRNAs, the latter being much longer (568 nucleotides as compared to 164 nucleotides in human). The record is from Ensembl. Lineage: Eukaryota; Metazoa; Chordata; Mammalia; Lagomorpha; Ochotonidae.
AUACUUACAUGGCAGGGGAGAUACCAUGAUCAUGCAGGUGGGUUUCCCAAGGCAAGGCUCAUCCAUUGUACUUGGGAUGUGCUGACCCCUGCGAUUUCCCCAAGUGUGGGAAACUCUGCAUAAUUUGUGGUAGUGGGGGACUGUAUUCACGCUCUCCCCUG